CGUAGGAUGCAAGCGUUGUCCGGAUUUAUUGGGCGUAAAGAGUUCGUAGGCUGUUUGUUAAGUCUGGUGUUAAAGACUGAGGCCCAACCUCGGAAAUGCAUCGGAUACUGGCAGACUUGAGUACGGUAGAGGCGAGUGGAAUUCCCAGUGUAGCGGUGAAAUGCGUAGAUAUUGGGAAGAACACCGGUGGCGUAGGCGACUCGCUGGGCCGCAACUGACGCUGAGGAACGAAAGCCAGGGGAGCGAAUGGGAUUAGAUACCCCAGUAGUCCUGGCUGUAAACGAUGGAUACUAGGCGUUAUGGGUAUCGACCCCCGUAGUGCCGCAGCUAACGCGAUAAGUAUCCCGCCUGAGUAGUACGGCCGCAAGGUUG
RNAcentral lists this ribosomal RNA (372 nucleotides) under uncultured organism. RNAcentral's name for it is "bacterial SSU rRNA". It matches the Rfam family "Bacterial small subunit ribosomal RNA", at positions 526 to 896 of the family's 1533-position model. The record is from RNAcentral.